AGCAGUGUGGCCUAGUGGAAAGAGCACUGGCCUGGGAGUCAGAGGUCGUGGGUUCUAAUCCCGGCACCGCCA
RNAcentral lists this transfer RNA (72 nucleotides) under Ornithorhynchus anatinus (platypus). It matches the Rfam family "tRNA". Rfam says of the family: Transfer RNA (tRNA) molecules are approximately 80 nucleotides in length. Their secondary structure includes four short double-helical elements and three loops (D, anti-codon, and T loops). Lineage: Eukaryota; Metazoa; Chordata; Mammalia; Monotremata; Ornithorhynchidae. The record is from Rfam by way of RNAcentral.